Eptesicus fuscus (big brown bat) is the source of this 107-nucleotide small nuclear RNA. The record is from RefSeq and is a predicted model, not a curated record. Lineage: Eukaryota; Metazoa; Chordata; Mammalia; Chiroptera; Vespertilionidae.
UUGCUUUAGCAGCUCAUACACUAAAAUUGGAACGAUACAGAGAGGAUUAACAUGGCCCCUGCGCAAGGAUGACACACAAAUUCGUAAAGCAUUUUAUCCAUAAUUUU